RNAcentral lists this ribosomal RNA (455 nucleotides) under uncultured bacterium. Its description in RNAcentral is "bacterial SSU rRNA". It matches the Rfam family "Bacterial small subunit ribosomal RNA", at positions 340 to 786 of the family's 1533-position model. The record is from RNAcentral.
UACGGAAGGCAGCAGUGGGGAAUAUUGCACAAUGGGCGCAAGCCUGAUGCAGCCAUGCCGCGUGUAUGAAGAAGGCCUUCGGGUUGUAAAGUACUUUCAGUCGUGAGGAAGGUGUUAAGGUUAAUAACCUUAGCAAUUGACGUUAGCGACAGAAGAAGCACCGGCUAACUCCGUGCCAGCAGCCGCGGUAAUACGGAGGGUGCGAGCGUUAAUCGGAAUUACUGGGCGUAAAGGGCACGCAGGCGGUUAAUUAAGUUGGAUGUGAAAUCCCCGGGCUUAACCUGGGAAUGGCAUUCAAGACUGGUUAGCUAGAGUCUUGUAGAGGGGGUAGAAUUCCAUGUGUAGCGGUGAAAUGCGUAGAGAUGUGGAGGAAUACCGGUGGCGAAGGCGGCCCCUGGACAAAAGACUGACGCUCAUGUGCGAAAAGCGUGGGGAGCAAAACAGGAUUAGAUACC